This 1071-nucleotide ribosomal RNA is filed under the name uncultured bacterium. Its description in RNAcentral is "bacterial SSU rRNA". It matches the Rfam family "Bacterial small subunit ribosomal RNA", at positions 336 to 1397 of the family's 1533-position model. The record is from RNAcentral.
CUCCUACGGGAGGCAGCAGUGGGGAAUUUUGGACAAUGGGGGCAACCCUGAUCCAGCCAUUCCGCGUGAGUGAAGAAGGCCUUCGGGUUGUCAAGCUCUUUCGGCAGGAACGAAACGGUGUCCCCUCAUACGGGGCGCUAAUGACGGUACCUGAAGAAGAAGCACCGGCUAACUACGUGGCAGCAGCCGCGGUAAUACGUAGGGUGCGAGCGUUAAUCGGAAUUACUGGGCGUAAAGCGUGCGCAGGCGGUUAUGUAAGACAGGUGUGAAAUCCCCGGGCUUAACCUGGGAACUGCGCUUGUGACUGCAUAACUUGAGUGUGGCAGAGGGGGGUGGAAUUCCACGUGUAGCAGUGAAAUGCGUAGAGAUGUGGAGGAACACCGAUGGCGAAGGCAGCCCCCUGGGUCAACACUGACGCUCAUGCACGAAAGCGUGGGGGAGCAAACAGGAUUAGAUACCCUGGUAGUCCACGCCCUAAACGAUGCGAACUAGGUGUUGGGGAAGGAGACUUUCUUAGUACCGCAGCUAACGCGUGAAGUUCGCCGCCUGGGGAGUACGGUCGCAAGAUUAAAACUCAAAGGAAUUGACGGGGACCCGCACAAGCGGUGGAUGAUGUGGAUUAAUUCGAUGCAACGCGAAAAACCUUACCUACCCUUGACAUGUCAGGAAGUCUGCUGAGAGGUGGAUGUGCUCGAAAGAGAACCUGAACACAGGUGCUGCAUGGCUGUCGUCAGCUCGUGUCGUGAGAUGUUGGGUUAAGUCCCGCAACGAGCGCAACCCUUGUCAUUAAUUGCCAUCACUCAGUUGGGCACUUUAAUGAGACUGCCGGUGACAAACCGGAGGAAGGUGGGGAUGACGUCAAGUCCUCAUGGCCCUUAUGGGUAGGGCUUCACACGUCAUACAAUGGUCGGUACAGAGGGUUGCCAACCCGCGAGGGGGAGCCAAUCCCACAAAGCCGAUCGUAGUCCGGAUCGCAGUCUGCAACUCGACUGCGUGAAGUCGGAAUCGCUAGUAAUCGUGGAUCAGCAUGUCACGGUGAAUACGUUCCCGGGUCUUGUACACACCGCCCGU